Molecule: transfer RNA, 68 nt
Filed under: Marmota monax (woodchuck)
Lineage: Eukaryota; Metazoa; Chordata; Mammalia; Rodentia; Sciuridae
Description: tRNA.Gly
Rfam family: tRNA (bases 7-63)
About the family: Transfer RNA (tRNA) molecules are approximately 80 nucleotides in length. Their secondary structure includes four short double-helical elements and three loops (D, anti-codon, and T loops).
Source: RNAcentral
GGAAUAUAGCUCAGUUGGUAGAGUGCUUGCCUCCCAUGCACAAGGACCUGGGUUCAAUCCCAGCACCA